RNAcentral lists this ribosomal RNA (253 nucleotides) under uncultured bacterium. RNAcentral's name for it is "partial 16S ribosomal RNA". It matches the Rfam family "Bacterial small subunit ribosomal RNA", at positions 524 to 776 of the family's 1533-position model. The record is from RNAcentral.
UACGUAGGGGGCAAGCAUUGUCCGGAAUUAUUGGGCGUAAAGAGCGUGUAGGCGGUCCGGUAAGUCAGCUGUGAAAGUCAAGGGCUCAACCCUUGAAUGCCGGUUGAUACUGUCGGGCUAGAGUCCGGAAGAGGCGAGUGGAAUUCCCGGUGUAGCGGUGAAAUGCGCAGAUAUCGGGAGGAACACCAAUGGCGAAGGCAGCUCGCUGGGACGGUACUGACGCUGAGACGCGAAAGCGUGGGGAGCAAACAGG